Non-coding RNA from Paramuricea clavata, 353 nucleotides. Lineage: Eukaryota; Metazoa; Cnidaria; Anthozoa; Malacalcyonacea; Plexauridae. The record is from the annotation of a GenBank genome assembly.
CCUUCGUAAUUGACAAAACUGACAAACCGCCUAAAAAACUGUCAUUUCGCAGUUUACUGGGAACAAUCGUAUCUUUGCCUGUCAAGGCUGUCUCCUCUAUUAUUUAACCUGUAUAUUCCUUAUAACAUGCACUCCAAGAUCAGUUAAGCAAAAAAGGUGAUAACUUCAAAAUAAUUCUGUCAAAGAGUUAAGAAACUGGUAGUAGAUUGUCAUCUGUCUAUACAUUCAAACUCCAUAUUAUUAAUAACGGUGUUUGUUUAGGUGAUGCUUAACCUGUAGCAAGCGACAGGAAGUAGUUUCUAUCCCUAUAUCGUUUGUGAAAAUCACUUAGAAUUGACAAGUAGUCGUUGUAC